GAUGAACGCUGGCGGCGUGCCUAAUACAUGCAAGUCGAGCGAACUUUUGGUAGCUUCCUCCCAAAAGUUAGCGCCGGACGGGUGAGUAACACGUGUGUAACCUGCCUUUAAUACUGGGAUAACUUCGGGAAACCGGAGCUAAUACCGGAUAACAUUUAAGACCACAUUGCCUUCAAUUAAAAGUUGGCUUUUACCUACCACUUACAGAUGGACCCGCGGCGCAUUAUCUAGUUGGUGAGGUAACGGCUCACCAAGGCGAAGAUGCGUAGCCGACCUGAUAGGGAGAUCGGGCAAAAUGGGAAUGGGACACGGCCCAGAAACAUAAGGGAGGCAGGAGUAGGGAAAGUUCCGAAAUGGAGGAAAGUCUGAAGGGACAAAGACGCGUGAGCGAAGAAGGGCUUCGGGUCGUAAAGCUCUGUUGUUAGGGAAGAAAAAGUAUCGUUCGAAUAGGGCGGUACCUUGACGGUACCUAACCAGAAAGCAACGGCUAACUACGUG
RNAcentral lists this ribosomal RNA (498 nucleotides) under uncultured bacterium. Its description in RNAcentral is "partial 16S ribosomal RNA". It matches the Rfam family "Bacterial small subunit ribosomal RNA", at positions 28 to 507 of the family's 1533-position model. The record is from RNAcentral.